Molecule: transfer RNA, 67 nt
Filed under: Marmota monax (woodchuck)
Lineage: Eukaryota; Metazoa; Chordata; Mammalia; Rodentia; Sciuridae
Description: tRNA.Phe
Source: RNAcentral
GGAUGUGGCUCAGUGGUAGAGUGCUUGCCUAAAAUAGAUGAGGCCCUGGGUUCAAUCCCCAGAUUAA